ACUGGGAGCGUGGCGUCUCCUGUAAUCCAGCUGCUUGGAGGUCGGGUUUAGAGGAUGGUUUGAGGUCGGGAGUUCUGGUACAGGGCGUUCUGCGUUGACCGGGCGUCCACACUAAGCAUGGCGUCAAUAUGGGCACCCUUGGGGAACCUGGGGUGGCCAGGUUGAUCAAUGAGAGGCGAACCGGGCCAGAGGGGAAACUCAGCAGCCAAAAGUCUCCGCGUCGUGCAGUAGUGGGAUCGCGCCUGGGAGCGGGAACCUUGUAUCAGCCCGUUCAAUAUAGCUAGACCUAAAUCUUU
This is a non-coding RNA of Dendroctonus ponderosae (mountain pine beetle), 296 nucleotides long. The record is from Rfam. NCBI's taxonomy places the organism in Eukaryota, Metazoa, Arthropoda, Insecta, Coleoptera, Curculionidae.